UAGUCAUAUGCUUGUCUUAAAGAUUAAGCCAUGCAUGUCUAAGUAUAAGUGAUUAUACAUCGAAACUGCGAAUGGCUCAUUAAAUCAGUUAUAGUUUACUUGAUUGUUACUUCUACUUGGAUAACCGUAGUAAUUCUAGAGCUAAUACAUGCGAAAAAAUCCCGACUUUUCGGAAGGGAUGCACUUAUUAGGUACAAAAACCAGUGGUGGGGCUUGCUCCACUUAAUUGGUGAAUCUAGAUAAUUGUCGAAUCGGUGUGGUCUCGUACCGUCGAUAAA
Molecule: ribosomal RNA, 278 nt
Filed under: uncultured eukaryote
Lineage: Eukaryota
Description: partial 18S ribosomal RNA
Rfam family: Eukaryotic small subunit ribosomal RNA
Source: RNAcentral